This 1654-nucleotide ribosomal RNA is filed under the name Salmonella enterica. Its description in RNAcentral is "partial 23S ribosomal RNA". It matches the Rfam family "Bacterial large subunit ribosomal RNA", at positions 1166 to 2803 of the family's 2925-position model. Lineage: Bacteria; Pseudomonadati; Pseudomonadota; Gammaproteobacteria; Enterobacterales; Enterobacteriaceae. The record is from RNAcentral.
GAAGAUGUAACGGGGCUAAACUAUGCACCGAAGCUGCGGCAGCGACACUAUGUGUUGUUGGGUAGGGGAGCGUUCUGUAAGCCUGUGAAGGUGUGUCGUGAGGCAUGCUGGAGGUAUCAGAAGUGCGAAUGCUGACAUAAGUAACGAUAAAGCGGGUGAAAAGCCCGCUCGCCGGAAGACCAAGGGUUCCUGUCCAACGUUAAUCGGGGCAGGGUGAGUCGACCCCUAAGGCGAGGCCGAAAGGCGUAGUCGAUGGGAAACGGGUUAAUAUUCCCGUACUUGGUGUUACUGCGAAGGGGGGACGGAGAAGGCUAUGUUGGCCGGGCGACGGUUGUCCCGGUUUAAGCGUGUAGGUGUGUGUUCCAGGUAAAUCCGGUUCACUUUAACACUGAGGCGUGACGACGAGGCACUACGGUGCUGAAGCAACAAAUGCCCUGCUUCCAGGAAAAGCCUCUAAGCAUCAGGUAACAUCAAAUCGUACCCCAAACCGACACAGGUGGUCAGGUAGAGAAUACCAAGGCGCUUGAGAGAACUCGGGUGAAGGAACUAGGCAAAAUGGUGCCGUAACUUCGGGAGAAGGCACGCUGACACGUAGGUGAAGUGAUUUACUCAUGGAGCUGAAGUCAGUCGAAGAUACCAGCUGGCUGCAACUGUUUAUUAAAAACACAGCACUGUGCAAACACGAAAGUGGACGUAUACGGUGUGACGCCUGCCCGGUGCCGGAAGGUUAAUUGAUGGGGUCAGCGCAAGCGAAGCUCCUGAUCGAAGCCCCGGUAAACGGCGGCCGUAACUAUAACGGUCCUAAGGUAGCGAAAUUCCUUGUCGGGUAAGUUCCGACCUGCACGAAUGGCGUAAUGAUGGCCAGGCUGUCUCCACCCGAGACUCAGUGAAAUUGAACUCGCUGUGAAGAUGCAGUGUACCCGCGGCAAGACGGAAAGACCCCGUGAACCUUUACUAUAGCUUGACACUGAACAUUGAGCCUUGAUGUGUAGGAUAGGUGGGAGGCUUUGAAGUGUGGACGCCAGUCUGCAUGGAGCCGACCUUGAAAUACCACCCUUUAAUGUUUGAUGUUCUAACGUGGACCCGUGAUCCGGGUUGCGGACAGUGUCUGGUGGGUAGUUUGACUGGGGCGGUCUCCUCCUAAAGAGUAACGGAGGAGCACGAAGGUUGGCUAAUCCUGGUCGGACAUCAGGAGGUUAGUGCAAUGGCAUAAGCCAGCUUGACUGCGAGCGUGACGGCGCGAGCAGGUGCGAAAGCAGGUCAUAGUGAUCCGGUGGUUCUGAAUGGAAGGGCCAUCGCUCAACGGAUAAAAGGUACUCCGGGGAUAACAGGCUGAUACCGCCCAAGAGUUCAUAUCGACGGCGGUGUUUGGCACCUCGAUGUCGGCUCAUCACAUCCUGGGGCUGAAGUAGGUCCCAAGGGUAUGGCUGUUCGCCAUUUAAAGUGGUACGCGAGCUGGGUUUAGAACGUCGUGAGACAGUUCGGUCCCUAUCUGCCGUGGGCGCUGGAGAACUGAGGGGGGCUGCUCCUAGUACGAGAGGACCGGAGUGGACGCAUCACUGGUGUUCGGGUUGUCAUGCCAAUGGCACUGCCCGGUAGCUAAAUGCGGAAGAGAUAAGUGCUGAAAGCAUCUAAGCACGAAACUUGCCCCGAG